GCCUGGCAAGAUGUUGGCAUAGCUGAAGUAUCCACUAGAAAUCAGCUCUGCUACAUACUGCCGUGCG
Molecule: non-coding RNA, 67 nt
Organism: Caenorhabditis brenneri
Lineage: Eukaryota; Metazoa; Nematoda; Chromadorea; Rhabditida; Rhabditidae
Source: Rfam